GACGAACGCUGGCGGCGUGCUUAACACAUGCAAGUCGAACGGAAAGGCCCUGCUUUUGUGGGGUGCUCGAGUGGCGAACGGGUGAGUAACACGUGAGUAACCUGCCCUUGACUUUGGGAUAACUUCAGGAAACUGGGGCUAAUACCGGAUAGGAGCUCCUGCUGCAUGGUGGGGGUUGGAAAGUUUCGGCGGUUGGGGAUGGACUCGCGGCUUAUCAGCUUGUUGGUGGGGUAGUGGCUUACCAAGGCUUUGGCGGGUAGCCGGCCUGAGAGGGUGACCGGCCACAUUGGGACUGAGAUACGGCCCAGACUCCUACGGGAGGCAGCAGUGGGGAAUAUUGCACAAUGGGCGGAAGCCUGAUGCAGCAGCGCCGCGUGCGGGAUGACGGCCUUCGGGUUGUAAACCGCUUUCGCCUGUGACGAAGCGUGAGUGACGGUAAUGGGUAAAGAAGCACCGGCUAACUACGUG
Molecule: ribosomal RNA, 468 nt
Filed under: uncultured bacterium
Lineage: Bacteria
Description: partial 16S ribosomal RNA
Rfam family: Bacterial small subunit ribosomal RNA
Source: RNAcentral